This 347-nucleotide ribosomal RNA is filed under the name Rhinella humboldti (Rivero's toad). RNAcentral's name for it is "partial 12S ribosomal RNA". It matches the Rfam family "Bacterial small subunit ribosomal RNA", at positions 869 to 1384 of the family's 1533-position model. Lineage: Eukaryota; Metazoa; Chordata; Amphibia; Anura; Bufonidae. The record is from RNAcentral.
UCGCCAGGGAACUACGAGCUAAGCUUAAAACCCAAAGGACUUGACGGUACCCCAUAUCCCCCUAGAGGAGCCUGUCCUAUAAUCGAUAAUCCACGUUUAACCUCACCAUUUCUAGUUUCUCAGCCUGUAUACCUCCGUCGUCAGCUUACCACGUGAGCGUUGAUUAGUGAGCCUAAUGUUUUUUCACCAACACGUCAGGUCAAGGUGCAGCAAAUGAAAUGGGAAGAGAUGGGCUACACUUUCUAUAUUAGAAGAAACGAAAAACUAUUUAUGAAAUCUAGUUGGAAGGCGGAUUUAGCAGUAAAAAGGAAUCAGAAUAUUCAUUUUAACCCGGCACUGGGGUGUGU